UGCUUACCUAGCUGGUAGAAUCCCAGGGG
RNAcentral lists this non-coding RNA (29 nucleotides) under Mus musculus (house mouse). The record is from RNAcentral. Lineage: Eukaryota; Metazoa; Chordata; Mammalia; Rodentia; Muridae.